This is a long non-coding RNA of Engraulis encrasicolus (European anchovy), 1053 nucleotides long. RefSeq lists it as uncharacterized. The record is from RefSeq and is a predicted model, not a curated record. The transcript is spliced from 4 exons. NCBI's taxonomy places the organism in Eukaryota, Metazoa, Chordata, Actinopteri, Clupeiformes, Engraulidae.
GAUACCUCAUAUGUGUGGGUAUCUGCUGUACAACUAACAGUGACAUUGAUUUUUUUUUUUUAAACGUUUUUAAUAUAGGCCUAUAUAUAUAUUUUAUUUUAUUUUACCUUGACCAGAAUACUGUUGAAAUGACACAUUGAAAUCGCGGUAAAAUACAGCUCAGUCAUACUCAUUACUCUCCGUCAAAACAACCGAAAAUGGCCAGCAGGAAACACAAUUAACUUUGUAACUCUUUUUCACUAGUUUUAGAAAUCUCUGAUCUCUUAAUUACAGGGGUAAUACCAAAGAUUCUCUAUUCUAAUUAGCAUCGUCUCUGAUAAUUCAAAUAUUCCAGGAAGUGGUUAAUCGACCGGAUGUUGUUUUGUGAUCAGUGAUGCGUUUCCAGGGGACGUUCUUUGAGGGGACACAUUACACUUUGAGGAAGUAGUGUCUUGUUCAGUGUUCACGGUUUAUAUUGCUGAAGGACAAUUACAAGUCUAAACGGAGAAGAGUCGUCAUUUCAAGGUGUUUUCGCGGACGUAUCGGCAUGUGGAUGUUGACAGUGUCGGAAGUAUUAAUCAAAGUUGACACGAGAAGUUGGAGCGAUGCGAGAAGAGCAUGCGAUGAGCUGCCUGCCUGCUGCUGUCUACUGCCUACUCCUGCUGCUGCCGCUGCUGCUGUUGCAUCCAAUUGUUGGCUCAUGACAGAUUUAUUUGAUAAGUGGAAGUGCCCGCUGAUGCAGACCCAGUGUAAGUAUACAUGCUGGCAUUGUUUUUGUGACAUUUAAUCUCAUCUAAAUCAUCAUGUUUUUGAACAGUGUUGGGUAGCCAGCCACCCAUGCAUGUUGACACAGCCAGCAGCGGGCACCCAUGGCACAUGGGGAUGGACCCAGGAGUGGAGGAUGACCCAAUAGGAUGAACGUUCAGCCCACUCACUGUUGACACCAGUGACACAGUAUUGACCAGAUCUCCUGGAAGUGCCCCCUGACGCAGACCCAGUUGUUGGGUAGCCACCCAUGCACGUUGACACAGCCAGCACCGAGCACCCAUGGGGAUGGACCCAGGAGUGGAGGAU